CCUACGGGUGGCAGCAGUGAGGAAUAUUGGUCAAUGGGCGUAAGCCUGAACCAGCCAAGUCGCGUGAGGGAUGAAGGUUCUAUGGAUCGUAAACCUCUUUUAUAAGGGAAUAAAGUGUGGGACGUGUCCUAUUUUGUAUGUACCUUAUGAAUAAGGAUCGGCUAACUCCGUGCCAGCAGCCGCGGUAAUACGGAGGAUCCGAGCGUUAUCCGGAUUUAUUUGGAGUAAAGGGUUCGGAGGCGGCCUUUUAAGUCAGCUGCGAAAGUCUGUGGCUCAACCAUAGAAUUGCCGUUGACACUGGGGGGCUUGAGGAUGUUUGAGGCAGGCGGAAUGCGUGGUGUAGCGGUGAAAUGCUGAGAUAUCACGCAGAACCCCGAUUGCGAAGGCAGCCUGCCAAGCCAUGACUGACGCUGAUGCACGAAAGCGUGGGGAUCAAACAGGAUUAGAUACCCCUGUAGUC
This 460-nucleotide ribosomal RNA is filed under the name uncultured bacterium. Its description in RNAcentral is "partial 16S ribosomal RNA". It matches the Rfam family "Bacterial small subunit ribosomal RNA", at positions 338 to 795 of the family's 1533-position model. The record is from RNAcentral.